RNAcentral lists this long non-coding RNA (1123 nucleotides) under Setaria viridis. RNAcentral's name for it is "long non-coding RNA (SVIR_LNC003532)". The record is from RNAcentral. Lineage: Eukaryota; Viridiplantae; Streptophyta; Magnoliopsida; Poales; Poaceae.
GACAUUUGAUGCUGAUAAUUCAGCAGAACACAUGUGUACGGUGACAUGGCAUGCCAACAUGGAUGGUCACCUAGGAUGAAGGAGAUGAUUAAUCCAAAAAUAUAAGUUAGAUGACUAAAUUAGCCUAACACCCUGUUUAGAUGUUAGUAUUGGAGGUCGGAAUUGGGAAUUGAAAUUGGUAGCUCCGAAUACCGACUGUUUGGAUGUCCUGGAAUUUAGAAUUGGAAAUCAAACUCAAUACCAACCGGUAUUCAUCCCACCCUCACCCCUUCACCCUCGAUACCGACCCAACCCGCUCUGUAUUCGCUGGAAUCAUCUUCUCUCUCGCAUCAGCUCCCUCCCUCCGCCCGUCAUCUGGCCGCGCCCGCCGCCCUCCCAGCGGGCCACCCCUGCCUUCCCUCCCUCCACCGACGGGCUGCCCCCGUCUCCCCUUCCUCUGCCGGCAAGCCAUGCCGCCACCGCUCCCUCCCUCCACUAGCGAGCUGCCCCCAUCUCCCCUCCCUUUGCCGAUGAGCCGUGCCGCCACCGCUCCCUCCCUUCGCUAGCGGGUCAUGCUGGUCUCUCCUCACCUUCCUCCGUCAGCGGGCCGCUUCGUCCUCCCCUCCGUCCGCCAGCGAGCUGCGCCACCACUGCUUCCUCCCUCUGCCAGUGGGCCGCACUAGCCUCUCACCUCCCUUCAUCGGCAGGACGGGCCGCCCCUCCCUCCAUCGGCAGGCCGCGCCACCUUCCUUCCUUCCUCUCUCCGUUGAUGGGCCGCGCUAGCUCCCCUCAAUCUACCGGCGAGCUGCGCCACCCUCCACUCCCUCUCUACCGGAGGCCCGAGUGUCUAGGUGGAGCGGCAGCCGACAGCGGAUGCUUGCCCGCUCACUGAGAUCCCUUCUUAUUCGAUGCCUCUCUCUCUCAGACUAGGGUGAAAAGAUGAAGAAGAAGAUGUAAAUUCUCAAUUUCAUAUCAUAUACAUCCAAACAUGAAUCGGUAUUUGCCACCCUAAUCAAUUUCAACUAGGAAUUCCAUCUACACCCAAACGACAGAUUUGGUAUUGUAACUCAUUUCCAAUACUACUCUGAUUUGGUAUUGAACUCAAUUCAAUACCAAGGUCUUCAAUAUCUACAUCCAAACGGAC